This is a long non-coding RNA of Brachypodium distachyon (stiff brome), 406 nucleotides long. RefSeq lists it as uncharacterized. The transcript is spliced from 2 exons. NCBI's taxonomy places the organism in Eukaryota, Viridiplantae, Streptophyta, Magnoliopsida, Poales, Poaceae. The record is from RefSeq and is a predicted model, not a curated record.
AAAUUCUCAAUCUUCUCUCUCUUUCCUUAUCCUCCACGACCCCGAGCCCGUCGCCGCUGUCCACACGCCAUGCACCCGCCGGGCGAGAUGGUGCCGCCAUGGAGCGCGUAGAGCUCAUCCUCGAGGAAGGCCAUGGCGUGGUGGAACACUCCGGUGAUGCGGUGAACGCCGACGGUGUAGCCCUCUUCGGCCCCGCCUCUCUCACUCUCUUGGUUCUCGGGCUCCUCCCAUGGAGGCGACAUCGGAGGCGAAUCCAUGAAUGGGAGGGCAGGGAGGGCCAUUUCUAUUUUUUUUAUUUUUCCAAAAACUAUAUCACUGUCGGUCGUCUUUGGUGCCCGCCACUGAUGGGUUAUUCAUCAGGCAAGAAGUUAGUGACAGGCACUAAUAACCGUUUUUUAAGUAGUGA